RNAcentral lists this ribosomal RNA (284 nucleotides) under uncultured bacterium. Its description in RNAcentral is "partial 16S ribosomal RNA". It matches the Rfam family "Bacterial small subunit ribosomal RNA", at positions 333 to 616 of the family's 1533-position model. The record is from RNAcentral.
GUACCUACGGGGCGCAGCAGUGAGGAAUAUUGGUCAAUGGCCGGAAGGCUGAACCAGCCAAGCCGCGUGAAGGACGAAGGUGCCAAGCAUUGUAAACUUCUUUUGUCAAGGGACAAAAUCAGGCUCGAGAGCCUGACCGAGGGUACUUGAAGAAAAAGCAUCGGCUAACUACGUGCCAGCAGCCGCGGUAAUACGUAGGGGGCAAGCGUUAUCCGGAUUUACUGGGUGUAAAGGGGGCGCAGACGGCGAUGCAAGCCAGGAGGGAAAGCCCGGGGCCCAACCCC